AGUAGAAUUGUUGGUCAUAUGGCAACUGUAUAUACUUAACAUUUUGAGGAACUGCCAAAAUGUUUUCUAAAUUGGCUGUACCAUUUUAUAUUUCCACCAACAAU
Molecule: microRNA precursor, 104 nt
Filed under: Marmota monax (woodchuck)
Lineage: Eukaryota; Metazoa; Chordata; Mammalia; Rodentia; Sciuridae
Source: RNAcentral